Molecule: ribosomal RNA, 483 nt
Filed under: uncultured bacterium
Lineage: Bacteria
Description: bacterial SSU rRNA
Rfam family: Bacterial small subunit ribosomal RNA
Source: RNAcentral
AUUGAACGCUGGCGGUAGGCCUAACACAUGCAAGUCGAACGCGAAAGUCCUUCGGGAUGAGUAGAGUGGCGGACGGGUGAGUAACGCGUAGGAAUCUAUCCUGUAGUGGGGGAUAAACGUUUCGAAAGGAACGCUAAUACCGCAUACGCCCCAAGGGGGAAAGCGGGGGAUCUUCGGACCUCGUGCUAUAGGAGGAGCCUGCGUCGGAUUAGCUAGUUGGUGAGGUAAAGGCUCACCAAGGCGACGAUCCGUAGCUGGUCUGAGAGGAUGAUCCGCCACACUGGAACUGAGACACGGUCCAGACUCCUACGGGAGGCAGCAGUAGGGAAUAUUGGACAAUGGGGGCAACCCUGAUCCAGCAAUGCCGCGUGAGUGAUGAAGGCCUUAGGGUUGUAAAGCUCUUUUACCCGAGAUGAUAAUGACAGUAUCGGGAGAAUAAGCUCCGGCUAACUCCGUGCCAGAGCCGCGGUAAACAUACUCGUA